Molecule: long non-coding RNA, 392 nt
Organism: Spea bombifrons (plains spadefoot toad)
Lineage: Eukaryota; Metazoa; Chordata; Amphibia; Anura; Pelobatidae
Exons: 2
Source: RefSeq, a predicted model, not a curated record
GUGAGAGGGACGAGAGGCUCUGCAAUGUGUAUCAUCUGCUUACAUAAAUCAUAGGGCCGGGGAAUAAAUGAUUCCAGUAGAAAGGACGAUUCAGCUCCACUGUCUGAUCCACAAUGAGCAGCAGCUGGCCAGACUCUCUGACUACGUGGCUUUCCUAGAGAACUAGCAUACCCUUCCCGCUCAUAGAUGAAAAUAAGGAACAAAAAGAAAAGCAGAACAACGACACAUAUCAUGGUCACAAACCCCAUUUCUACUAAGUCAAGACAUUACAUAUACAUAUUUAUAUACUGCAUUUUUUCUUAAAAAAUAGUUACCAAAGCUUAAGUUCUAAAAAAAAUUGAUUUUUGUAGGGACUGUAUGUUGUAUCUUAUUAAAGUUCAUGUUCCUUAGUA